UGAUCGAUCUGCCUGAAACAUCUGUCUCCUCAUUGAUCUCUAGGGUUAAUUUGGCUAAUCUAUCUCAUCAAGCAUAUUUUCCUUUCUUUCCUAACUACUCCAUGUGUUCUCCCCACAAAUUUGUAUGCUAUAUUUCAGAGAACAACUGUUUAUCUAUAACGUUUAUAUGAGCAUCUUCACUCUCCUGUUAGGACCAAAAAAGAAAAUCCCUCAAGAUAUUUUUUGCAUUUGAACAUGAGGCUCUAUUUGUAGCAGAUAUUUUAUUUGUUGGAUGUCUACUACAUGUAUAA
This 290-nucleotide small nuclear RNA is filed under the name Mesocricetus auratus (golden hamster). RNAcentral describes it as "7SK RNA". The stretch from base 1 to 255 matches the Rfam family "7SK RNA". Rfam says of the family: 7SK was discovered as an abundant small nuclear RNA in the mid-70s but a possible function has only recently been suggested. Two independent studies have found that 7SK RNA binds the CDK9/cyclin T complex (known as elongation factor P-TEFb). Lineage: Eukaryota; Metazoa; Chordata; Mammalia; Rodentia; Cricetidae. The record is from Rfam by way of RNAcentral.